Molecule: ribosomal RNA, 496 nt
Filed under: uncultured bacterium
Lineage: Bacteria
Description: partial 16S ribosomal RNA
Rfam family: Bacterial small subunit ribosomal RNA
Source: RNAcentral
AUGAACGCUGGCGGCGUGCCUAAUACCUGCAGGUCGAGCGAACGGACGAGAAGCUUGCUUCUCUGAUGUUAGCGGCGGACGGGUGAGUAACACGUGGAUAACCUACCUAUAAGACUGGGAUAACUUCGGGAAACCGGAGCUAAUACCGGAUGAUAUUUUGAACCGCAUGGUUCAAAAGUGAAAGACGGUCUUGCUGUCACUUAUAGAUGGAUCCGCGCUGCAUUAGCUAGUUGGUAAGGUAACGGCUUACCAAGGCAACGAUGCAUAGCCGACCUGAGAGGGUGAUCGGCCACACUGGAACUGAGACACGGUCCAGACUCCUACGGGAGGCAGCAGUAGGGAAUCUUCCGCAAUGGGCGAAAGCCUGACGGAGCAACGCCGCGUGAGUGAUGAAGGUCUUCGGAUCGUAAAACUCUGUUAUUAGGGAAGAACAUAUGUGUAAGUAACUGUGCACAUCUUGACGGUACCUAAUCAGAAAGCCACGGCUAACUACGUG